Molecule: ribosomal RNA, 387 nt
Filed under: Alveolata sp.
Lineage: Eukaryota
Description: partial small subunit ribosomal RNA
Rfam family: Eukaryotic small subunit ribosomal RNA
Source: RNAcentral
AUUCCAGCUCCAAUAGCGUAUAUUAAAGUUGUUGCGGUUAAAAAGCUCGUAGUUGGAUUUCAGCUAAUGUUUACCGUUCCUUCUUCAUGUCGGCAACUGGUUUGACAGCGGCAUUUCUUGGUAUACGUGUCGGCGCUUUAUUGUGCUGCGCUAAUUCCAAGUCUUUUACUUUGAGGAAAUUAGAGUGUUUCAAGCAGGCAUAUGCCUUGAAUACAUUAGCAUGGAAUAAUAAUAUAAGACUUCGGUUUUGUUUUGUUGGUUCUUGGAACUGAAGUAAUGAUAAAUAGGGACAGUCGGGGGCAUUCGUACUUAACUGUCGGAGGUGAAAUUCUUGGAUUUGUUAAAGACGAACUACUGCGAAAGCAUUUGCCAAGGAUGUUUUCAUCA